Molecule: small nuclear RNA, 103 nt
Organism: Suricata suricatta (meerkat)
Lineage: Eukaryota; Metazoa; Chordata; Mammalia; Carnivora; Herpestidae
Source: Ensembl
GCACUCGUUUUGGCAGCACAUACACUAAAAUUGGGACAAUACAGAGACGAUUAGGCCCCUGGACAAGGACGACGCACCAACUCAUGCAAUGUUCCAGAUUUUU